CCAAUAGCGUAUAUUAAAGUUGUUGCAGUUAAAAAGCUCGUAGUUGAACUUCGGGGUUUACCCAUUGGUCAGGCUUAAUUGUCUGUACUGGUGAGAUAAAUCUCUACCUUCUGAGGAACUUUCAUGUCAUUAAUUUGGUGUGAUUGGAAAUCAGGACUGUUACUUUGAAAAAAUUAGAGUGUUUUAAGCAGGCUAACGUCUGAAUACAUUAGCAUGGAAUAAUGAAAUAGGACGGACUGAUUCUAUUUCGUUGGUUUCUAGGAUCACCGUAAUGAUUAAUAGGGAUAGUUGGGGGCAUUAGUAUUCAAUUGUCAGAGGUGAAAUUCUUGGAUUUAUUGAAGACUAACUACUGCGAAAGCAUUUGCCAAGGAUGUUUUCAUUAAUCAAGAACGAAAGUUAGGGGAUCGAAGACGAUCAGAUACCGUCGUAGUCUUAACCAUAAACUAUGCCGACUAGGGAUCGGACGAAGUUAAUUUUAUAAUGACGCGUUCGGCACCUUACG
Molecule: ribosomal RNA, 502 nt
Filed under: uncultured Glomeromycotina
Lineage: Eukaryota; Fungi; Glomeromycota
Description: partial small subunit ribosomal RNA
Rfam family: Eukaryotic small subunit ribosomal RNA
Source: RNAcentral